This 1107-nucleotide ribosomal RNA is filed under the name Triticum aestivum (bread wheat). RNAcentral's name for it is "partial small subunit ribosomal RNA". Lineage: Eukaryota; Viridiplantae; Streptophyta; Magnoliopsida; Poales; Poaceae. The record is from RNAcentral.
AUGGAGCCAUGGGAGAGAAGCGAGAGCGCCAGCGUCAAGAAGCCCAUGGCGCCGCCCAUGGACGCUCUCAGCGACGAUCUCCUCGGAGAAAUACUCCGCCGCCUCCCCGACAUGGCGUCACUCGCCAGCGCCGCCCUCGUCUGCAAGGGCUGGGGCGGCGUGGCCUCCGACCCGGUCAUCUUCCGCCGUUUCCUCUUCCUCCGGACGCCCCCCCUCGUCGGCGUCAUCCUCACCAAGCGCAACCGCGAGUGCGCCGCCCACCGCAACGAUCUCCGCUUCGUGGCGCCUCGUGUCUGCGACGGCGGCCUCCUCCUCCUCUCCUGCGGCCGCUAUUCGUCGAAGCUCGCCGUCUACGACCCUCUCCAGCGGACUGCCAUCUUCUUCGAGCCACCCGCGGGCUGGCACAUGGUCCGCUACGCCAUCAUCGCGGACGAGGUCGGCCCUUCGUUCCAGGUCAUCGCCAUAUGUCCCUGGCACAGCCACCGCUUCGCCGUCUUCUCCUCCGGCGCCGGCAAAUGGGUCGUGGUUAACUCGUGCCGCCACAGUUGGAUGUGCGUGGAUGACGGUAUGGCCGCUGGGCGGUUCGUGUACUGGCGGUCCAACACCAAAAGGAACACCAUGAAUGACAAUGAAGAGCAGAUAUAUGUGCUUGACACGAAAACCAUGGUGUGGUCGGUUAUAACCGCGCCGUUCCCGGCUGGCGAAUCGUACUGCGUGGCGGACAUGGCGGAGCACGGCGGGCUGUGCAUCGUGUCCAGCAAGGAGCAAUGCGUGCUGCUCUGGGUACGUGAUAUCAGUGGUGGAUGGGUGGUCAAGAAGGAGGUCUCCUUGCUGAAUCAGUUUGGGUACUUGAAGAGGAUUCGUCGCGACGAAUGGAUGAAGAGGCUGCGCAUCCUCUCAAUGAAAGCCGGCUAUGUCUACAUGGAGUUCUGGUCCAUAAGGAAGUCUGAAUCCUAUAUUCUUGUGCUCAAUCUGAACACCGUCAAGCUGCAACAAAUCUUUCGCAACAAUGCGGAUGAGCGCUACAGAGGUGCUGCUUUUCCAUUCUUUUUGCGGUUGCCACCACUGCCCGCCGCAGAUGAUGACAAGGAGCUUCAAGAUGCUUGA